This 981-nucleotide long non-coding RNA is filed under the name Trifolium pratense (red clover). RNAcentral describes it as "long non-coding RNA (TPRA_LNC001194)". The record is from RNAcentral. Lineage: Eukaryota; Viridiplantae; Streptophyta; Magnoliopsida; Fabales; Fabaceae.
CUCCCAGUGUUGAUUCUCCUUGAGUAAAGGUGUCAACCAAUCUUUAACAGAGAGAACAUGGAGGAAGAAGAAGGAAAUGAAGAGGCUGAAGACAAAUGUGUUCACUUCUUCAACACCAUGCUUCUCUCCUUUUAAAGAGAGGAGCAUGAAACUAAAAGGCAAUUCAUACAGGCUAAGGGAAGGCAAAGCCUUUCUUCCAGGUUCAAUUCGCGAUGCUGUACCUGCACUAGUUAUUAAGAUCAAACACAGUCUGCAGUUUCAUCUUAAAUCAAUGUUUGUUAAGUGUUGUAUCUCUUUCUGCUCAUUCUUUAAGCUACUUAGUUUGAAUGGUUAACUCAAACAAUGCAUGAUAUAUAUCUAAAUAAAUAUAAUCCAAUGAUGUAUGUGUCUGUUAAAAGAAGUAUGUAAUGUUUGCCCUGUUUUUGCUGCAAGCUGUGAAUAAAAUGGUAAACAGUUUGUUGUCACACAGAAAACUUAAGUGUUUUCCAGUGUCAGCAUUUGCCUUUUGCUCGUUGAAUUUUUCGGAUUUGUGUAAUGAGGCAUGUCCAUUUGUUGUAGAUUUUUCUGCCCAAACACCACACGAGAUGGUGAUAUAACUCGCGGGUGUGAAAAUGUUGCGACUCAUGAAAUCCACAUCCACAUGGCUAAACAACCAAGAGAUAUAUUUUUCACCUGUGCAAUGGUAGAGCAAACAAAAACCACUAAGAGUGACUUCUAGUACUUUAUUCCCUUGACAAAAAUUUCAAGUUCAGUGAGUGUUUGGAACUACAGUGAAACUUCCAAACUUGGAGCUUCACUGUCAAAUGUGAUUCAUACGUUGGCUAUCUAGUAUUUACCAUAUUUCCAAGCACGCGGUCAGAGGUCUAAGGUCUAAGCAAUUUUUUGUUUUGAUCUCAAACAUGACAAUAAUCUCACUUUGUUUUCAGCAAAUGUUCCUUCAACAUGCAUUUAGAGUUCGACAGUACAAUCAACAGAAAACGU